UUAAGCGACUAAGCGUACACGGUGGAUGCCCUGGCAGUCAGAGGCGAUGAAGGACGUGUUAAUCUGCGAUAAGCGUCGGUAAGGUGAUAUGAACCGUUAUAACCGGCGAUUUCCGAAUGGGGAAACCCAGUGUGAUUCGUCACACUAUCAUUAACUGAAUCCAUAGGUUAAUGAGGCGAACCGGGGGAACUGAAACAUCUAAGUACCCCGAGGAAAAGAAAUCAACCGAGAUUCCCCCAGUAGCGGCGAGCGAACGGGGAGCAGCCCAGAGCCUGAAUCAGUGUGUGUGUUAGUGGAAGCGUCUGGAAAGGCGUGCGAUACAGGGUGACAGCCCCGUACACAAAAAUGCACAUAUUGUGAGCUCGAUGAGUAGGGCGGGACACGUGGUAUCCUGUCUGAAUAUGGGGGGACCAUCCUCCAAGGCUAAAUACUCCUGACUGACCGAUAGUGAACCAGUACCGUGAGGGAAAGGCGAAAAGAACCCCGGCGAGGGGAGUGAAAAAGAACCUGAAACCGUGUACGUACAAGCAGUGGGAGCACGCUUAGGCGUGUGACUGCGUACCUUUUGUAUAAUGGGUCAGCGACUUAUAUUCUGUAGCAAGGUUAACCGAAUAGGGGAGCCGAAGGGAAACCGAGUCUUAACUGGGCGUUAAGUUGCAGGGUAUAGACCCGAAACCCGGUGAUCUAGCCAUGGGCAGGUUGAAGGUUGGGUAACACUAACUGGAGGACCGAACCGACUAAUGUUGAAAAAUUAGCGGAUGACUUGUGGCUGGGGGUGAAAGGCCAAUCAAACCGGGAGAUAGCUGGUUCUCCCCGAAAGCUAUUUAGGUAGCGCCUCGUGAAUUCAUCUCCGGGGGUAGAGCACUGUUUCGGCAAGGGGGUCAUCCCGACUUACCAACCCGAUGCAAACUGCGAAUACCGGAGAAUGUUAUCACGGGAGACACACGGCGGGUGCUAACGUCCGUCGUGAAGAGGGAAACAACCCAGACCGCCAGCUAAGGUCCCAAAGUCAUGGUUAAGUGGGAAACGAUGUGGGAAGGCCCAGACAGCCAGGAUGUUGGCUUAGAAGCAGCCAUCAUUUAAAGAAAGCGUAAUAGCUCACUGGUCGAGUCGGCCUGCGCGGAAGAUGUAACGGGGCUAAACCAUGCACCGAAGCUGCGGCAGCGACACUAUGUGUUGUUGGGUAGGGGAGCGUUCUGUAAGCCUGUGAAGGUGUACUGUGAGGUAUGCUGGAGGUAUCAGAAGUGCGAAUGCUGACAUAAGUAACGAUAAAGCGGGUGAAAAGCCCGCUCGCCGGAAGACCAAGGGUUCCUGUCCAACGUUAAUCGGGGCAGGGUGAGUCGACCCCUAAGGCGAGGCCGAAAGGCGUAGUCGAUGGGAAACAGGUUAAUAUUCCUGUACUUGGUGUUACUGCGAAGGGGGGACGGAGAAGGCUAUGUUGGCCGGGCGACGGUUGUCCCGGUUUAAGCGUGUAGGCUGGUUUUCCAGGCAAAUCCGGAAAAUCAAGGCUGAGGCGUGAUGACGAGGCACUACGGUGCUGAAGCAACAAAUGCCCUGCUUCCAGGAAAAGCCUCUAAGCAUCAGGUAACAUCAAAUCGUACCCCAAACCGACACAGGUGGUCAGGUAGAGAAUACCAAGGCGCUUGAGAGAACUCGGGUGAAGGAACUAGGCAAAAUGGUGCCGUAACUUCGGGAGAAGGCACGCUGAUACGUAGGUGAAGUCCCUCGCGGAUGGAGCUGAAAUCAGUCGAAGAUACCAGCUGGCUGCAACUGUUUAUUAAAAACACAGCACUGUGCAAACACGAAAGUGGACGUAUACGGUGUGACGCCUGCCCGGUGCCGGAAGGUUAAUUGAUGGGGUUAGCGCAAGCGAAGCUCUUGAUCGAAGCCCCGGUAAACGGCGGCCGUAACUAUAACGGUCCUAAGGUAGCGAAAUUCCUUGUCGGGUAAGUUCCGACCUGCACGAAUGGCGUAAUGAUGGCCAGGCUGUCUCCACCCGAGACUCAGUGAAAUUGAACUCGCUGUGAAGAUGCAGUGUACCCGCGGCAAGACGGAAAGACCCCGUGAACCUUUACUAUAGCUUGACACUGAACAUUGAGCCUUGAUGUGUAGGAUAGGUGGGAGGCUUUGAAGUGUGGACGCCAGUCUGCAUGGAGCCGACCUUGAAAUACCACCCUUUAAUGUUUGAUGUUCUAACGUUGACCCGUGAUCCGGGUUGCGGACAGUGUCUGGUGGGUAGUUUGACUGGGGCGGUCUCCUCCUAAAGAGUAACGGAGGAGCACGAAGGUUGGCUAAUCCUGGUCGGACAUCAGGAGGUUAGUGCAAUGGCAUAAGCCAGCUUGACUGCGAGCGUGACGGCGCGAGCAGGUGCGAAAGCAGGUCAUAGUGAUCCGGUGGUUCUGAAUGGAAGGGCCAUCGCUCAACGGAUAAAAGGUACUCCGGGGAUAACAGGCUGAUACCGCCCAAGAGUUCAUAUCGACGGCGGUGUUUGGCACCUCGAUGUCGGCUCAUCACAUCCUGGGGCUGAAGUAGGUCCCAAGGGUAUGGCUGUUCGCCAUUUAAAGUGGUACGCGAGCUGGGUUUAGAACGUCGUGAGACAGUUCGGUCCCUAUCUGCCGUGGGCGCUGGAGAACUGAGGGGGGCUGCUCCUAGUACGAGAGGACCGGAGUGGACGCAUCACUGGUGUUCGGGUUGUCAUGCCAAUGGCACUGCCCGGUAGCUAAAUGCGGAAGAGAUAAGUGCUGAAAGCAUCUAAGCACGAAACUUGCCCCGAGAUGAGUUCUCCCUGACCCUUUAAGGGUCCUGAAGGAACGUUGAAGACGACGACGUUGAUAGGCCGGGUGUGUAAGCGCAGCGAUGCGUUGAGCUAACCGGUACUAAUGAACCGUGAGGCUUAACCUU
This 2901-nucleotide ribosomal RNA is filed under the name Escherichia coli KTE142. RNAcentral describes it as "bacterial LSU rRNA". It matches the Rfam family "Bacterial large subunit ribosomal RNA". The record is from RNAcentral. Lineage: Bacteria; Pseudomonadati; Pseudomonadota; Gammaproteobacteria; Enterobacterales; Enterobacteriaceae.